CUAAUAGUAGCUUAAGGAUUUAAAGCAUAAGACUCUUAAUCUUAGUAUGUUACGAGUAAGAACCUAUUAGC
Molecule: transfer RNA, 71 nt
Filed under: Schistosoma mattheei
Lineage: Eukaryota; Metazoa; Platyhelminthes; Trematoda; Strigeidida; Schistosomatidae
Also listed under: 1 other name
Rfam family: tRNA
About the family: Transfer RNA (tRNA) molecules are approximately 80 nucleotides in length.
Source: Rfam by way of RNAcentral